RNAcentral lists this transfer RNA (71 nucleotides) under Actinomycetota bacterium. RNAcentral's name for it is "tRNA-Met". It matches the Rfam family "tRNA". Rfam says of the family: Transfer RNA (tRNA) molecules are approximately 80 nucleotides in length. Their secondary structure includes four short double-helical elements and three loops (D, anti-codon, and T loops). Further hydrogen bonds mediate the characteristic L-shaped molecular structure. tRNAs have two regions of fundamental functional importance: the anti-codon, which is responsible for specific mRNA codon recognition, and the 3' end, to which the tRNAs corresponding amino acid is attached (by aminoacyl-tRNA synthetases). tRNAs cope with the degeneracy of the genetic code in two manners: having more than one tRNA (with a specific anti-codon) for a particular amino acid; and 'wobble' base-pairing, i.e. permitting non-standard base-pairing at the 3rd anti-codon position. The record is from RNAcentral. Lineage: Bacteria; Bacillati; Actinomycetota.
CGCGGGAUAGUGGACCGGCGCCACGGUGGGCUCAUAACCCGCAGAACGGAGUUCGACUCUCCGUCCCGCUA